This 388-nucleotide unclassified non-coding RNA is filed under the name Hevea brasiliensis (rubber tree). Lineage: Eukaryota; Viridiplantae; Streptophyta; Magnoliopsida; Malpighiales; Euphorbiaceae. The record is from RNAcentral.
GUGGACUCCAUAUGAUUGUGGCAGCAACGAAAGAGGACCCUUCAUCAGUUCAGGCGAAAGAUCAGCGCAUGAUCAUUGAGAGCCUCAUCAGCAUAAUUCCACCACAGAAGGAUAGCGUCUCCUGCAGCUUCCUCCUGCGCCUUCUGAGAAUGGCAAACAUGUUAAAAGUGGCACCUGCAUUAGUUACAGAAUUAGAGAAACGAGUGGGGAUGCAGUUUGAACAGGCAACAUUGGCUGACCUCCUAAUUCCUUCUUACAAUAAGAGCGAGACCUUGUAUGACGUGGACCUCACUCAGAGGCUUCUGGAGCAUUUUCUGAUUCAAGAACAGACAGAAAGUUCAAGUCCAAGUAGACAACCAUUUUCUGACCAAAGGGGUACUAAUACACA